UACAGAGGUCCCCGAGCGUUGUUCGGAUUCACUGGGCGUAAAGGGUGCGUAGGUGGUGAGGUAAGUCGGAUGUGAAAUCUCCAGGCUCAACCUGGAAACUGCAUUGGAAACUACCUUGCUUGAGGGGUUUUGAGGGGGGACGUGGAAUUCUCGGUGUAGCAGUGAAAUAGCGUAGAUAUCGAGAGGAACACCAGUGGCGAAGGCGAGUCCCUGGAAAACAACCUGACACUGAGGCACGAAAGCUAGGGGAGCAAACAGGAUUAGAUACCCCA
This 272-nucleotide ribosomal RNA is filed under the name uncultured bacterium. Its description in RNAcentral is "partial 16S ribosomal RNA". It matches the Rfam family "Bacterial small subunit ribosomal RNA", at positions 524 to 789 of the family's 1533-position model. The record is from RNAcentral.